CCUACGGGAGGCAGCAGUAGGGAAUCUUCCACAAUGGGCGAAAGCCUGAUGGAGCAACGCCGCGUGGGUGAAGAAGGCCUUCGGAUCGUAAAACUCUGUUGUUAGAGAAGAAAGUGUGUGAGAGUAACUGCUCACGUUUCGACGGUAUCUAACCAGAAAGCCCCGGCUAACUACGUGCCAGCAGCCGCGGUAAUACGUAGGUGGCAAGCGUUAACCGGAGUUAUUGGGCGUAAAGGGCACGCAGGCGGUCUAUUAAGUCUGAUGUGAAAGCCUUCGGCUUAACCGGAGUAGUGCAUUGGAGACUGGGAGACUAGAGUGCAUAAGGGGGGAGUAGAACUCCAUGUGUAGCGGUGAAAUGCGUAGAUAUGUGGAGGAACACCAGUGGCGAAGGCGGCUCUCUGGGCUGUAACUGACGCUGAGGUGCGAAAGCGUGGGUAGCAAACAGGAUUAGAUACCCGGGUAGUC
This 465-nucleotide ribosomal RNA is filed under the name uncultured bacterium. RNAcentral's name for it is "partial 16S ribosomal RNA". It matches the Rfam family "Bacterial small subunit ribosomal RNA", at positions 338 to 795 of the family's 1533-position model. The record is from RNAcentral.